This 253-nucleotide ribosomal RNA is filed under the name uncultured bacterium. Its description in RNAcentral is "partial 16S ribosomal RNA". It matches the Rfam family "Bacterial small subunit ribosomal RNA", at positions 524 to 776 of the family's 1533-position model. The record is from RNAcentral.
UACGUAGGUUGCAAGCGUUGUCCGGAUUUACUGGGUGUAAAGGGCGUGUAGGCGGAGGCGCAAGUUGGGAGUGAAAUCUAUGGGCUCAACCCAUAAACUGCUCUCAAAACUGUGCCCCUUGAGUAGUGCAGAGGUAGGCGGAAUUCCCGGUGUAGCGGUGGAAUGCGUAGAUAUCGGGAGGAACACCAGUGGCGAAGGCGGCUUUCUGGACUGAAACUGACGCUGAGGCUCGAAAGCGUGGGGAGCAAACAGG